ACCUGGCUGGUUCAAUUGGUUGAGCAUGUGACUCUGGAUCUCAGAGUUGUGGUUUCAAGUGCCAUAUUGGGUG
Molecule: transfer RNA, 73 nt
Filed under: Mustela putorius furo (domestic ferret)
Lineage: Eukaryota; Metazoa; Chordata; Mammalia; Carnivora; Mustelidae
Rfam family: tRNA
About the family: Transfer RNA (tRNA) molecules are approximately 80 nucleotides in length. Their secondary structure includes four short double-helical elements and three loops (D, anti-codon, and T loops).
Source: Rfam by way of RNAcentral